UGGGGAAUAUUGCACAAUGGGCGCAAGCCUGAUGCAGCCAUGCCGCGUGUGUGAAGAAGGCCUUCGGGUUGUAAAGCACUUUCAGCGAGGAGGAAGGUGGUGAGCUUAAUACGCUCAUCAAUUGACGUUACUCGCAGAAGAAGCACCGGCUAACUCCGUGCCAGCAGCCGCGGUAAUACGGAGGGUGCAAGCGUUAAUCGGAAUUACUGGGCGUAAAGCGCACGCAGGCGGUUUGUUAAGUCAGAUGUGAAAUCCCCGGGCUCAACCUGGGAACUGCAUUUGAAACUGGCAGCUAGAGUCUCGUAGAGGGGGUAGAAUUCCAGGUGUAGCGGUGAAAUGCGUAGAGAUCUGGAGGAAUACCGGUGGCGAAGGCGGCCCCCUGGACGAAGACUGACGCUCAGGUGCG
Molecule: ribosomal RNA, 406 nt
Filed under: uncultured bacterium
Lineage: Bacteria
Description: partial 16S ribosomal RNA
Rfam family: Bacterial small subunit ribosomal RNA
Source: RNAcentral